GACGGUAUAGUUCAGUCGGUUAGAACAUUGGGAUCAUAAUCCAAAUGUGAAGGGUUCAAUUCCCUUUUCCGUCA
RNAcentral lists this transfer RNA (74 nucleotides) under Vischeria cf. polyphem. RNAcentral describes it as "Eustigmatos cf. polyphem tRNA-Met". It matches the Rfam family "tRNA". From Rfam's summary of the family: Transfer RNA (tRNA) molecules are approximately 80 nucleotides in length. Their secondary structure includes four short double-helical elements and three loops (D, anti-codon, and T loops). The record is from RNAcentral. Lineage: Eukaryota; Eustigmatophyceae; Eustigmatales; Chlorobotryaceae.